GUAGGUGGCAAGCGUUGUCCGGAAUUAUUGGGCGUAAAGCGCGCGCAGGCGGUCCUUUAAGUCUGACGUGAAAGCCCACGGCUCAACCGUGGAGGGUCAUUGGAAACUGGGGGACUUGAGUACAGAAGAGGAAAGCGGAAUUCCAAGUGUAGCGGUGAAAUGCGUAGAGAUUUGGAGGAACACCAGUGGCGAAGGCGGCUUUCUGGUCUGUAACUGACGCUGAGGCGCGAAAGCGUGGGGAGCAAACAGGAUUAGAUACCCUGGUAGUCCACGCCGUAAACGAUGAGUGCUAAGUGUUAGGGGGUUUCCCGCCCCCCUUAGUGCUGCAGCUAACGCAUUAAGCACUCCGCCUGGGGGAGUACGGCCGCAAGGCUG
RNAcentral lists this ribosomal RNA (375 nucleotides) under uncultured organism. RNAcentral describes it as "partial 16S ribosomal RNA". It matches the Rfam family "Bacterial small subunit ribosomal RNA", at positions 527 to 896 of the family's 1533-position model. The record is from RNAcentral.